Molecule: unclassified non-coding RNA, 325 nt
Filed under: fungal sp.
Lineage: Eukaryota; Fungi
Description: partial internal transcribed spacer region
Rfam family: Eukaryotic small subunit ribosomal RNA (bases 1-46)
Source: RNAcentral
AAGUCGUAACAAGGUUUCCGUAGGUGAACCUGCGGAAGGAUCAUCAUUGAAAAAAAUGGUUUUAUAUAAACUCAAGCCAAGGAAUUUAAUUUUUUUUGGCUUGCAAACAACAUAGAUACCCAAAAAGAAAGUUUCUCUUUUUUUGGUUGAAAAAAAAAAGGAGGGGAAAGGAAAGAUUUUCCCUUUCCUUCUUUUUUUUUUAUUCGAUCGGGAAAAAAGGAAACGAAAUUUUUACAAAAAUUGGUGGUUGCCUGAUAUUAAAAGUGUUUUGGAAAAGGAUGAAUAAAUGAAAAACAACUUUCAACAACGGAUCUCUUGGCUCUCA